GUCUUUUUCCUGCCACCGAAUAAGGGAUGAUCACACACACGCCCCACUCCACCCCCACCUCGGCGCACAGUUCCUCUGUGAAGGGACAAGCGGGAUGGGGAAAGUUUGGCACCACGGCGGUGGUGGUGGCAGCAAGCAGCGGCGGCACACAGGGGUCCCGGUGGGAGGCAGGGUCGCUGAAAACCCCGGCCCGGUCGCCUCCUUACCUCGGUGCUUUCGACUGCGUUCUCCGCCAUUUUCCUCCGGAGGAGCAGGCAGCGGGAGGAGUGUUUCAUGCCCAUAAGAGCCAACAAGGGUUUGGGGAUUCGAGAUAGUAAAGAACGAGAGACGGCUGAUGUGGCUUUAAAAGAGAGCCUAAGAAUGCAAGAGGAGGGGGGAAAAAUCCCAGCCAGCCCCUCUCCCCGAGCGUCCUCCGCGACAAUCGAGCUCUGUGGAGUC
This 438-nucleotide long non-coding RNA is filed under the name Mus caroli (Ryukyu mouse). RNAcentral describes it as "predicted gene 42738 (MGP_CAROLIEiJ_G0003938.1)". Lineage: Eukaryota; Metazoa; Chordata; Mammalia; Rodentia; Muridae. The record is from RNAcentral.